This 66-nucleotide transfer RNA is filed under the name Myxine glutinosa (Atlantic hagfish). RNAcentral describes it as "tRNA-Pro". Lineage: Eukaryota; Metazoa; Chordata; Myxini; Myxiniformes; Myxinidae. The record is from RNAcentral.
CAGAGAAUAGUUUAUAAGAAUUUUAAUUUUGGGAAUUAAAGGUAAGGAAGUAUUCCUUUUCUCUGA